RNAcentral lists this ribosomal RNA (1319 nucleotides) under Mycoplasmoides gallisepticum. RNAcentral describes it as "bacterial LSU rRNA". It matches the Rfam family "Bacterial large subunit ribosomal RNA", at positions 440 to 1756 of the family's 2925-position model. The record is from RNAcentral. Lineage: Bacteria; Bacillati; Mycoplasmatota; Mycoplasmoidales; Mycoplasmoidaceae.
GAAGUCGCCCAGACCAUUGGGCAAGCCUAAAUACUAACUAGUGACCGAUAGCGUAUAGUACCGUGAGGGAAAGGUGAAAAGAACCCAGGGAUGGGAGUGAAAUAGAUUCUGAAACCAUAUGCCUACAACGUGUCAGAGCACAUUAAUGUGUGAUGGCGUGCGUUUUGAAGUAUGAGCCGGCGAGUUAUGAUAGCAAGCAGGUUAACCUUUAGAAGGGAAGCCGAAGCGAAAGCGAGUUUGAAUAGAGCGAAUUAAAGUGUUUGUUAUUAUAGACCCGAAACGGGUUGAGCUAGUCAUGGGCAGGUUGAAGUUAGAGUAACAUCUAAUGGAGGACCGAACCGACUUUCGUUGAAACGACAGCGGAUGACCUGUGACUAGGGGUGAAAUUCCAAUCGAAAUCCGUGAUAGCUGGUUCUCGUCGAAAUAGUUUUAAGACUAGCGUAAGAUCAUGAUCAACUGGAGGUAGAGCUACUGAAUGUAUGAUGGCGCCGCCUUGGUGUACUGAAUACAAUUAAACUCCGAAUGCUAAUUGAUUUAUUCUUGCAGUCAGACAGUGGGGGAUAAGCUUCAUUGUCACAAGGGGAAGAGCCCAGAUCAUUAAAUAAGGUCCCUAAAAUAUGCUAAGUGGAAAAGGUUGUUAAAAUACUUAAACAGCAAGGAUGUUGGCUUAGAAGCAGCCAUCGUUUAAAGAGUGCGUAACAGCUCACUUGUCGAGUGUUUUUGCGCCGAAGAUGUAACGGGGCUAAGCAUAUUACCGAAUUUAUGGAUUAUUAUUCGUAAGAAUGAUAGUGGUAGACGAGCGUUGUAUAUGGGAUUAAGUCAAACCGUGAGGAUUGGUGGACUGUAUACAAGUGAGAAUGCCGGUGUAAGUAACGCUUGAGAGUGAGAAUCUCUCAAACCGAUUGACUAAGGUUUCCUGGACGAGGGUCGUCCUUCCAGGGUUAGUCUGGACCUAAGGCGAGGCAGAAAUGCGUAGUCGAUGGAAGAACAGGUUAAUAUUCCUGUACAAACAAAUAGCUGAUGGAGUGACGGAGAAGGUUAAUGCAUCCCCAUUAUCGGAUUUGGGGUUAAAUAAGAAGUCUUAAGGGUUGGCAAAUCCGCCCUUUUUAAGGACAACUUAUGAAUACGAGUGAACGCUUUGCAAGUAGCGAAGAUGCAUACAUCACGCUUCCAAGAAAAGCUUCUAGGGUUAACUAUUUGUUUCCAGUACCGAGAACGAACACACGUGGUCAAGGAGAAGAUCCUAAGGUUAGCGAGUGAACUAUAGCUAAGGAACUCUGCAAAUUCAUCCCGUAAGUUCGCAAGAAGGGAUGCUCAAU